AUGUGCUAUGUAGUACAAAACUUCAGGUAUUAUGGUAGGUUCACAAUUUCUGUGGAAGCUGAGGACAAUCGUUUCUCUCAGUUGAUGAUUUUGAUUCACUUCUUUAAGAGGUAAUUUUGAUUAAGUUCUCUGAUUUCCUAGAGGUUGUGAUGGCUGAAGUCAAAAUUUGAACCUUGGCGAGGCAGAAUCGGAGGACGACAAGCUGGGUUCUCCCCUUACAAAUUCAUUAACUCUUAUUUUUCAAUAAUUUAUAUACAUUUUUGUUUGAUUAUUAUGUAUAUAACAUUAAAAAGGUUUGUAUCUAACAUAAGUAUGUCAUUUAGUUAGUUUUGUUAUAAUUUUAUGUAUAAUAAUAGUUGUUAUGUAAAUAUGUUAAAUAAAAGCUAUAUAAAUAAUAGGUUGGUUUAGGCUCGCGAGCCGGCUUGAGCACGAUAAGUGAAGCUUCGGCUCGGGCUCGUUAAUUAAACAAGCUUAAUUUUAGGCUCAAGCUUGGGAUCAAACCUAUGAUGCACUGGGACGGGUACGGGUACGGGAAGGGGGUACGGGGACGGGUACGGGAACGGGAACGGGAAACGGCAAAACUAAAAAUUUCAAGAAGCGGGGACAGGACGGGUACGGGAAUAAAAACAUAUAUAAAAUAAAUAUAUAUUAAAGAUAAUGAAACACAAAACCCCAAAAUAGUUAUAUAUUGAUCUAAAGUUCAAAAAUCCCAUAUCUUCCUAAUCUAAUCAAACGUUAACAAGCAAAUCGCUUUCAAGUUCCGGUUUUAAACGUGAUUGUCGCUUGGUAUAAUUGAAUAGGUGGGGGCGCUAUUUUAGAAUAGGAUUAAAAUUUUUUUU
This 839-nucleotide long non-coding RNA is filed under the name Helianthus annuus (common sunflower). RNAcentral's name for it is "hypothetical non coding rna". Lineage: Eukaryota; Viridiplantae; Streptophyta; Magnoliopsida; Asterales; Asteraceae. The record is from RNAcentral.